This 867-nucleotide ribosomal RNA is filed under the name uncultured Pseudomonas sp. RNAcentral describes it as "bacterial SSU rRNA". It matches the Rfam family "Bacterial small subunit ribosomal RNA", at positions 45 to 905 of the family's 1533-position model. Lineage: Bacteria; Pseudomonadati; Pseudomonadota; Gammaproteobacteria; Pseudomonadales; Pseudomonadaceae. The record is from RNAcentral.
GGCCUAACACAUGCAAGUCGAGCGGCAGCACGGGUACUUGUACCUGGUGGCGAGCGGCGGACGGGUGAGUAAUGCCUAGGAAUCUGCCUGGUAGUGGGGGAUAACGCUCGGAAACGGACGCUAAUACCGCAUACGUCCUACGGGAGAAAGCAGGGGACCUUCGGGCCUUGCGCUAUCAGAUGAGCCUAGGUCGGAUUAGCUAGUUGGUGAGGUAAUGGCUCACCAAGGCGACGAUCCGUAACUGGUCUGAGAGGAUGAUCAGUCACACUGGAACUGAGACACGGUCCAGACUCCUACGGGAGGCAGCAGUGGGGAAUAUUGGACAAUGGGCGAAAGCCUGAUCCAGCCAUGCCGCGUGUGUGAAGAAGGUCUUCGGAUUGUAAAGCACUUUAAGUUGGGAGGAAGGGCAUUAACCUAAUACGUUGGUGUCUUGACGUUACCGACAGAAUAAGCACCGGCUAACUCUGUGCCAGCAGCCGCGGUAAUACAGAGGGUGCAAGCGUUAAUCGGAAUUACUGGGCGUAAAGCGCGCGUAGGUGGUUUGUUAAGUUGGAUGUGAAAUCCCCGGGCUCAACCUGGGAACUGCAUUCAAAACUGACAAGCUAGAGUAUGGUAGAGGGUGGUGGAAUUUCCUGUGUAGCGGUGAAAUGCGUAGAUAUAGGAAGGAACACCAGUGGCGAAGGCGACCACCUGGACUGAUACUGACACUGAGGUGCGAAAGCGUGGGGAGCAAACAGGAUUAGAUACCCUGGUAGUCCACGCCGUANACGAUGUCAACUAGCCGUUGGGAGCCUUGAGCUCUUAGUGGCGCAGCUAACGCAUUAAGUUGACCGCCUGGGGAGUACGGCCGCAAGGUUAAAACUCCAA